GCGCGGGUGUCGUAACAGUAGCCGAGCUGCCUUGAGGUGGCAGUGUCCGUAAGGGCGUGGAGGUGCGAUUCCUCUCCCGCGCACCA
Molecule: transfer RNA, 86 nt
Filed under: Candidatus Nomurabacteria bacterium RBG_16_40_11
Lineage: Bacteria; Candidatus Nomuraibacteriota
Also listed under: 5 other names
Description: tRNA-Leu
Source: RNAcentral